UACGUAGGUGGCAAGCGUUAUCCGGAUUUAUUGGGCGUAAAGGGAACGCAGGCGGUCUUUUAAGUCUGAUGUGAAAGCCUUCGGCUUAACCGGAGUAGUGCAUUGGAAACUGGGAGACUUGAGUGCAGAAGAGGAGAGUGGAACUCCAUGUGUAGCGGUGAAAUGCGUAGAUAUAUGGAAGAACACCAGUGGCGAAAGCGGCUCUCUGGUCUGUAACUGACGCUGAGGUACGAAAGCGUGGGGAGCAAACAGG
This 253-nucleotide ribosomal RNA is filed under the name uncultured bacterium. RNAcentral describes it as "partial 16S ribosomal RNA". It matches the Rfam family "Bacterial small subunit ribosomal RNA", at positions 524 to 776 of the family's 1533-position model. The record is from RNAcentral.